CUGUACUAAGGUAGCAUAAUAAUUUGCCUUAUAAAUUGGGGCUAGAAUGAAUGGUUUGACGAAAAUUAUACUGUCUCUAUUUUAUUUAUUAGAAGUUAAUUUUUAUAGUGAGAAAGCUUGGAUGAUUUAAAGGGACGAAAAGACCCUAUUGAGCUUUAUAUUAUAUUUUAAAUAUAUUUUUUUGUGUUUAUUUAAAUAUAAUUUUGGUUGGGGUGAUCAAGGAAUAAAGUAUAUUUAUGUUAACUUCCGUAAAUAUAUAUAUAAUAAAUUAAUAAACCAAAUUUAUUGCUUAGAAGAUAAGUUACCAUAGGGAUAACAGCGUAAUUUUUUUUGAGAGUUCAUAUUGAAAAAAGAGAUUGCGACCUCGAUGUUGGAUUAAAU
Molecule: ribosomal RNA, 381 nt
Filed under: Amphioctopus sp. JBLS-2013
Lineage: Eukaryota; Metazoa; Mollusca; Cephalopoda; Octopoda; Octopodidae
Description: partial 16S ribosomal RNA
Source: RNAcentral